CAGUCGCCGCGGUAAUACGUAGGUCCCGAGCGUUGUCCGGAUUUAUUGGGCGUAAAGCGAGCGCAGGCGGUUAGAUAAGUCUGAAGUUAAAGGCUGUGGCUUAACCAUAGUACGCUUUGGAAACUGUUUAACUUGAGUGCAAGAGGGGAGAGUGGAAUUCCAUGUGUAGCGGUGAAAUGCGUAGAUAUAUGGAGGAACACCGGUGGCGAAAGCGGCUCUCUGGCUUGUAACUGACGCUGAGGCUCGAAAGCGUGGGGAGCAAACAGGAUUAGAUACCCGCGUAGUCCCUGUCUCUUAUCCA
RNAcentral lists this ribosomal RNA (301 nucleotides) under uncultured bacterium. RNAcentral's name for it is "partial 16S ribosomal RNA". It matches the Rfam family "Bacterial small subunit ribosomal RNA", at positions 509 to 809 of the family's 1533-position model. The record is from RNAcentral.